UGCCAGCAGCCGCGGUAAUACGGAGGGUGCAAGCGUUACCCGGAUUGAUUGGGCGUAAAGGGUCCGCAGGCGGUUUGAACAGUUAUUGGUCAAAUCUUGAGGCUUAACCUCAAGACUGCUAAUAAUACUUUUAAACUAGAGACUGGGAGAGGCAAACGGAAUUGCCGGUGUAGUAGUAAAAUGCGUUGAUAUCGGUAGGAACACCAAAAGCGAAGGCAGUUUGCUGGAACAGUUCUGACGCUCAGGGACGAAAGCAUGGGUAGCGAAUGGGAUUAGAUA
Molecule: ribosomal RNA, 279 nt
Filed under: uncultured bacterium
Lineage: Bacteria
Description: partial 16S ribosomal RNA
Rfam family: Bacterial small subunit ribosomal RNA
Source: RNAcentral